ACGCGGUCAUACACAACGGGACUCGAACACACGACCUCCCGAUUUUCGGAGUCGGGCUAAGAGGUUAUAAAAGUUAGCUCGGGCUCCAGCUCCAACUCUAGCUCGAAUUCAAAAUCAUACUCCUGGGAGUACGUGGUCAGAUUCUAAAACAUUUCGUGUAUGAACUCCCAGGAGUACUUAUUCAAUUUUCCAGCUAGUACUCGAACCUUUUUUUUUUAAUUGCACAAGCGCCCGCCCUUCUUUUUCUACUUCUUCCGUAAUGGCGACGCCAAUAUUUUUAAGUUGACAACAGUGCACAGCAAUAUUCCAGUCCAUGUAACAGUUAGUUAGUGCCAGUUAUUGCUAAAACGUUCUAAAUGAUAUUUUUUAAAAAGAAAUAUUCGUUGAAUUAGAUAUAAUGUCUGUAAAUAUAAAAGAAUCCACCCUAAGACAUAUCCUUUCUGGCGAUACAAGAAAAACAACACUGUACACGGUAUUCUCUCUCUCUCUCUCUCUCUCUCUCUCUCUCUCUCUCUCUCUCUCUCUCCCUUUCUUCACCCACAAACAAGACUAUAAAUCAAUGUAUUUCUCACAACAUGAAAACAUCUUGAGUGCACCUUAGGAAGUAGUCUUCUCUACCAACAUCAAAUGUAAACGAUUUGAUUUAUUAUAUAAACUAUAGAAAUUGCAUAAAAUCAUAGAUAACUACAAUUGACGAAAUUCAUUUUAAUUGGGCAAUGCAAUAAAGCAGCAAUUACCUUUGUGCAGUGUGAUACACAACAAAACCAUAUUUGUUGUUUCAACAAGUUGUUCGUUGAAUAUUCACGUAAUUAACGUAUGUACAAGCUAUCGUGACAAUUAUAAGUAUAAUUAUCGUUCGUUACUUUAAAAAAUAAACAAACCACGAUGUUCAAACACUUACUUUAUGUGCUAUUUAUCGAUUUAUUUUUAUGUUGAAUUUAAGCAAAUAAGACAUUUUAAGAGGCCGUCCACGGAGAUAUCAGGCAGUAGCUAUAAUACGGCUGGCACAUGCAAUUCCCCAAAAUUUUAUUCAUACCCAAUAAAAGUUAAGGUCAUACGCCAAUUUUAUCGUAUGUAAAGUGAAUUUCACAAAAAAAUUGUUAGAUGCCAAAACUUGGCCUAUUUCAUAAAUUCGAGGACACUAUAUAAUCUAUAGAAAAUGAUCAUUUUGUAAAGUUAAAUAAUACCCAAUACAAUAAAAUUUGUCCAGAAAGUAUAAACAAUAUUUGAAGGAAAUUCCUUAAUAAUUAAGAUGAAACAAUAAAAUUGCUGGGAAACAAUGCUGUUGUUAGCAUUUACUGACAGAAGUAGCCGAAAAGCCAGUAAUUUGAGUUACCUCCCUUGGCGUAAAAAAUGUAAAAUGAUCCGAAACUUGCAUAAAUUGUAAUUUUCGAAGAAAACAGUAUUUAUUUAGAACAUUUUCACUUAUCUCGAUUUUUUUUAUCAAGUGUAAACGUGGAAUUAAUUUUUUUUUUUUAAUUUGAUGGUGAAAAAUAAAUAUUCAGCCCGGACCUUAUCAAAGUUUCGUGGGUAAACAGAUAUGGCUGACAAGUGAUAGAAACGUGAAGUUUUUCUAGGAGUGGUUCUUAUUUUAGGGACUUGUCGAUCCUUAAUAAUUGUUCAAAAGACAUAAGUGGAUAUUCAAGAUAUUUUAAAGUUGGAACUGCGUGUAAUAUUCAACCGAGAUUGACCCCCUGCUGUACAGAUCGGGGUACUUCGAAUUCAACGUAAAAGUUUAACUGUUUAAACUAUCGUGCACGGUGCAGAUGCUUACUAGUAUGCCGAGGUCAUUGCGAUUCUUUUGGGAUUUACUGAAGGCAACCACCACCAAAUGUAGUUAUCUACUACACAAAGGAAAGUGUAAAGCAGACAGAGCAGUAAACUUCAAUGUUUCAAGGGAAAUAUUUGUUCCCGUUGGAAGUGAUUUGGAAAAUAAUUAUAGUCAAAUCACCCCUACUGCAAGCCAAUUAUCAGACUGUAUCAGUGAGUAUAUUUAUUUAUUUCAAUCAAAAGAUUUUAAAUUCAGAAAAUGGUACAUCUGACCUUGUCAUAUUGUCAUAAUUCAUAAAUUAUGUAAGUUUAGAACUAUUACAGAUAUGAGCUUAAUUCCACAUUUGACAUGUAUAAUUCUUGAGACAAAUCCUGACCAAAGGCAUCCAAUGUUAUGAUGUCACAAUCCUUUUGUUUUACCUCACUUGACAGACAUACAUGUAGAAUAUAAAAACUUUAACUUUGACAAUAACAUAAGAAUGGUUAGAGAUGGGGGUUGGAUAUUUCAGAAAUGUGUGUUCCUUCAUGUCAUAUGAUAGUAACAUUUUUACCUUACGACCUUGACCCUUCAUAUUGAAGUUUUAUGUGAUGUCACCAUGCCACACACAACACAUACAUGCAUUUUUAAUUCAUGACUUAUCAAAGAUUUUAACCCACUCGACAAGUUUUAAACUCUCUUCAGACAAUUCUUGUUUAGAUAAUUUCAAAUACUAGCUCGUAUAUAUAUACAUAUAUAUAUAUAUAUAAGUCAGAGGUGAUGUUUUGAAAUCAGAAUGUGGUUUAAUUUUUGAAUCAAUGAAUAUAUAGUUUUUUUUUUUGUUUUUUUUUUUUAGCUCACCUGAUCUGAAGGCUAAAGAGGCUAAAGAAUUAGUGUAUGGAGGAGAUCAAAGUAUGAUGUGGGAAUAUACAGGAAAUUAAAACAAAUUCUUUUCAAGCAUUGAUGCAACUCAGGAAGAUGACAGAUUAGGCAGGCUAGUUAAUCAUGGUGAUAAAAGAGAGAUAAACUGCAAGAUGAAGCUAUGUGGCGAUUCCCUAUGUCUUUUUGCUACAAGAAACAUUGAGCAGGGAGAGGAACUUCUCUACGAUUAUGGCUUACAGUCAUAUCCAUGGAAAUCCAAAUAAUGGAUAAGCUAUUAUUAUCAAAUGAGGGUAAUGAUUUAUGCGAAAAGAAAGUACGGACAAAGAGAUCUUCAGAUGAAGAAACAACCUUGAUAUCAGCUGUUUUAGAGCGAAAGGACAUCCUGUUUGGGGAUUUUAAGGGUCCAGGGGGGAAAUCGGACUUUGCAAAGAGGAGACAGGGUUGUGAAGAAGUGGCAAAUGUUUUAAAUGUGCAAUUCAUAAGUCUUCGAAGAGACCCUGAGGAAAUUCAGAAGUUCGUCAACUUGAGGCAGAGAGCAAAGGAGAAGAUUGAUUUUAUCAAGAGGGCACUGGAGUGGGUUCUGCUCCACCACCCUCGACAGCUGGGGAGGAAACUGUUGCAAUAUCCCUUCAGAAUAGGCCCGUGGCAGGUGGAAUUGAAGGACGGAUAGAUGCUGAUGAAGCCCCUAGUACAUCUACAGACAGUGUUGAGCCUGCUGCAGCUGAGUCCCCUGCAACAUUCGAUGAGACGGUACAUGCAGGGUGUGACGUGAGAGCUAAAGAAAUCAGACACAAAAGAGCAACAGAGGGCCCUGCUAGAGAACAUCAGGCUGGACAGCAGGCGUCUGGAGUUGGAAAUCGCAAAAUUACAGAAAGAGUCAGAGAAACCUACAGUGGAGACAAAUUUUUAUAGGACAAAGACUUUGUACAUUCAGACAAAGAUACAGACAGAGUUUCACAUGUCAGUAGAGUCAUAAGUAUUUAAUAUUUACAACUUUCUUCUUAUACAUAUAUACAGUCUUUGGGUGAUUUUAGACUGGCUAAAUCAGUACAUGAAAAUAUUAACAUUACUUAGAAAGUUUAAAAAAAAUUCACAAGAAAUAUAAAAAAUGAACGUUAUUAGCAUGUGAGGAAUUUUUUUACUGGGGUAUUUUUGAAUUUUUAAAAAUUGUUGUCUAUCCUGAUGUUCCCUCCUCGAAUGUCAUGUCUAAUAAUGCAAUUUGUGUGAUUGGGUGAUAUUUUCUAAGUUAAAAUAUUCUUUCAUUAUUAUGAAAUGUUAUUUUGAAAAUUGUUUUACUUUAGAUUAAAUUAGGACAAAAGUUGUCUUUACUAUGAAGUUGUACAGAGAUUAUGAAAUCAUAACUGUAAUUAAUAGUAUAGAUAUGUAUGUAAAUAUUUAAAGAAUGUAUACAGAAUUUUCCAAUCUCUAUUUAAAUCCCCUCUUUAUAUACUAAACUAUACUGUAGAAAAUGUAACUGUCUUUGAGUUUUUAAAGUACAUAUGUAUACUAUUCAAUACUGGGUACCUGUAAAAUGCGAAACGAAACGAAAUCUACCGAAACGAAACAGAUUGUAUUAACCGAUUCGGGACUCUUUCAAUUAUGUUGAUUAACAAGAGUACCGCAAACGGUACAUAAUACGCCCGCGAAAUGCUUACAUGUACAUUGGGUGUUUUUUCUUGUGCUAUAAUUUGUAUAACUUUGCUUCAGGUAGUAUCAGCCAUCAUGAGGCUGUGACAAACGUUCAUAUGAACAAAGGGUCUUAGCUUAAAAACGAGAUUUCCUCAAAAUGGACCAAGUACAACAACCUGUAAUUUUCUCAAAAAUUGUAGAAAAUCAAAAUCCAUCCCACAUGCACAUCUUCGAUACCCUUACAAACUCUCCAUAAAAUAAGAAGGCUCUCACUUGAAAACUGUGGGAGGAGUAGGGCGGACAAAUCAUGUACCCUCCAUAUAAUAAUUAUUUCCAAAUAAAGGGGCAAAACUCCUGGAAAAAGGUCAAAAUUGCAGUAUGAUAUAGAGUGACCCACAAAGAAGUUACACAGCAAGUUUCAGCAUGAUAUGUGAAAGGGAAAUGAAAUUAUAAAGAGAAAACCCCGAACGGACGGACGUACAGACAUCACUGUGCCAUAAUACGCCCCGUCUAAAGACGGGCGUAUAAAAAUGGUAUCUUAAGCCCCUGUGAAAGUUACCACAUAUAAAUAAAAUUCGCCUCCCCUUUGAUGUAGGCUUUCGGCUUGACUGAUACAAAGUUUUAAAAGUUGGAAGGGGGUAGUAAGCAAACGGUACAUAUCCGAAGUUGAUUAAAUACCAUGCGCAAUUAGUUUCGGAUCCAUAAAGAGCUAGAGCCACGAAAGGUCAAAAUCGGCCUGUAUUUUUAUGAAAAAUUCUCUGAAACUUAACAAAUAAAUAUUGCACUAAAUAUUGUCAAUAUACAUCGUAGUAAAUAUAUUCAUAUCAAAAUGUUAAUUAUGUGACGUCAUAACUGUGCCGUAGAUGUCAUAACACGUGACGUUUGCACAUUUUUCUCUAAAAAUGACAAAUUUUGGAACUUUGAUUCAAAAUUUCAGUUUGGCCACAUUCAACGAACAAAUUAAAAAUUCUGACAUGGGUAAAGAAAUGAAAACUGCACAAAUGAAUGUUGGAUUCAAUUUGUUCGAUGACAGUGGCCAUACGUAAAUUUCUUGUUUUAGGUCUUUCACAAACAUAAUUUAUCGAAUGAUGAUAGUUUCUCAUUUAAAAAAUAGACGUGUCCUUAUAAAACAUUAUAAAAUGAUAGAUUUUCAUAUAGGAUCUCAAAGCAUAAUUAUAUCCCAAUUAUUUUGAAAAGUUUUAUGUACAUCUAUGAUCGAGGAAUGAAAUAUAGAUUUCGGAUGAUCAUCGUCGAAUUAUGUGAUGACAAUAAUCAGUUCAACAUGAUUGAUAUUUGGAAAGUGUAUGUCUUUGCUUUUAGGUCCAAUUUAUCUCAAAUGUUGAAUAUGCUAAUAAAAUAAUUAAAAGACACCAAUUAUCUUCUUGUGUUCUUUUAUUUCGCCGAUACAUUGAUGUUUAACUGUCACAUAAAUGUAAACAUGAAAGCGCUCUACAAUCAUAGGGAGAUAAUUCGAUCAACAUAGCAUUUGUAUUGAGCUUAUUUUACUACGAGCAAUAACGUAAACCAUGACGAUAUUUGGACAAUGAGUUGUCUGAAUACACAAUAUUUUUCUGUAUAAAACUUUUCGUGGUUGUAAUCUU
Ostrea edulis (European flat oyster) is the source of this 5859-nucleotide long non-coding RNA. RefSeq lists it as uncharacterized. The record is from RefSeq and is a predicted model, not a curated record. The transcript has 9 exons. NCBI's taxonomy places the organism in Eukaryota, Metazoa, Mollusca, Bivalvia, Ostreida, Ostreidae.